Non-coding RNA from Podarcis lilfordi (Lilford's wall lizard), 92 nucleotides. NCBI's taxonomy places the organism in Eukaryota, Metazoa, Chordata, Lepidosauria, Squamata, Lacertidae. The record is from the annotation of a GenBank genome assembly.
UGGGAAGAUAUAGAAUUGCUUCAUAAACUGAAAAUAAAAUUUUUAGACGAUGACCUGCAUUUUCAGUUUAUGAAGCAAUUCUAUAUCUUCCC